RNAcentral lists this transfer RNA (68 nucleotides) under Nauphoeta cinerea (gray cockroach). RNAcentral describes it as "tRNA-Val". Lineage: Eukaryota; Metazoa; Arthropoda; Insecta; Blattodea; Blaberidae. The record is from RNAcentral.
CAAGCUAUUCUUAAAGUUAAGGAAUUCAUUUACAUUGAAUUAACAUUGUGCAAUUCAAUAUAGUUUGA